This 301-nucleotide ribosomal RNA is filed under the name uncultured bacterium. Its description in RNAcentral is "partial 16S ribosomal RNA". It matches the Rfam family "Bacterial small subunit ribosomal RNA", at positions 509 to 807 of the family's 1533-position model. The record is from RNAcentral.
CAGUCGCCGCGGGAAUACGGAGGGUGCAAGCGUUAAUCGGAAUUACUGGGCGUAAAGCGCACGCAGGCGGUUUGUUAAGUCAGAUGUGAAAUCCCCGAGCUUAACUUGGGAACUGCAUUUGAAACUGGCAAGCUAGAGUCUUGUAGAGGGGGGUAGAAUUCCAGGUGUAGCGGUGAAAUGCGUAGAGAUCUGGAGGAAUACCGGUGGCGAAGGCGGCCCCCUGGACAAAGACUGACGCUCAGGUGCGAAAGCGUGGGGAGCAAACAGGAUUAGAUACCCGCGUAGUCCCUGUCUCUUAUAC